This 894-nucleotide long non-coding RNA is filed under the name Phoenix dactylifera (date palm). Its description in RNAcentral is "long non-coding RNA (PDAC_LNC003837)". The record is from RNAcentral. Lineage: Eukaryota; Viridiplantae; Streptophyta; Magnoliopsida; Arecales; Arecaceae.
AUAUAUAUAUGCGCGCGUGCGCGCGCACUUUUUUGAUAAGAUAACAAUAAGGACUUAUAAGCAUACUAUUUGUAUGAGCUUUUCGAGUAUUGAUAUGAUGUUCUUUUUACCUGAUAUUAUUUAUUUGAUUAUAUUUCUAUUACUUAUGGUGUAGCGAUUCGGAUUUUUUACUGGGCUGGAAAAGUUUAUAUCCUUCCUUGCAUUUUCUUUUUAGAGUUGAGGUUACAUAGUACUUGGUCAUAGUUGAGAUCAUGGGUGAAGGAAUAUAGCAUCCUUGUUUGCAGUUAGAUGAAUGAAUCUGGUAAUUUUGUACAAGUUUGUUAUUCAUUAUGAACUAAGGCCGUUAUUAUUCAUGGAUAUUGAGAUGUAAUAAGUUUUUCAGGUCUAAUAUAUUCUCUAGGGCUCUGCCCUAGAGAGUGUGCGGCCGUGUCACAUGGCCGACCUAGUGGCGGAUUUGGGGCGUGACAGCUAACAUCAGAAUUUCAUAAAACCCCAAGCAUGCAAUCUUGAAUAUUUAACACCUAUAGAGAUGGAUGAUAUACUAUAGUGUUAAGAUUUCACAACCUUUUUCUGCAAAAAUAAUUCCAUAUUACUGAAUAAUGUAUAAUCUAGGUAGAUGUUAUAAUUUUCUUUCAUAUCUGAGACAACUGAAACCUGGAAAUAGUGUAUGACUUAACAUCCUUAUCCUGCAAAAAUAAUUCCAUAUUAUUGAAUAAUGUAUAAUCUAGGUAGAUGUUAUAAUUUUCAUUCAUAUCUGAGAUAACUGAAACCUGGAAAUACUGUAUGACUUAACCAAACAAUGGGAAUAUUACGCUCUAAUGCAAGAGCUAGGGCCAUUCUUCAACAAGAAAAAGAAGAAGAAGAAGGGGCAAUAUAAAAGGAAUAUUCAUUUUC